Molecule: ribosomal RNA, 503 nt
Filed under: uncultured bacterium
Lineage: Bacteria
Description: partial 16S ribosomal RNA
Rfam family: Bacterial small subunit ribosomal RNA
Source: RNAcentral
AUUGAACGCUGGCGGCAGGCUUAACACAUGCAAGUCGAGCGGGGUGAUGGUGCUUGCACUAUCACUUAGCGGCGGACGGGUGAGUAAUGCUUAGGGAUCUGCCUAUUAGUGGGGGACAACAUCUCGAAAGGGAUGCUAAUACCGCAUACGUCCUACGGGAGAAAGCAGGGGAUCACUUGUGACCUUGCGCUAAUAGAUGAGCCGAAGUCGGAUUAGCUAGUUGGUGGGGUAAAGGCCUACCAAGGCGACGACCUGUAGCGGGUCUGAGAGGAUGAUCCGCCACACUGGGACUGAGACACGGCCCAGACUCCUACGGGAGGCAGCAGUGGGGAAUAUUGGACAAUGGGGGGAACCCUGAUCCAGCCAUGCCGCGUGUGUGAAGAAGGCCUUAUGGUUGUAAAGCACUUUAAGCGAGGAGGAGGCUCUUUUGGUUAAUACCCAAGAUGAGUGGACGUUACUCGCAGAAUAAGCACCGGCUAACUCUGUGCCAGCCGCCGCGGUAA